Molecule: long non-coding RNA, 1415 nt
Filed under: Coturnix japonica (Japanese quail)
Lineage: Eukaryota; Metazoa; Chordata; Aves; Galliformes; Phasianidae
Description: lncRNA (ENSCJPG00005000421.1)
Source: RNAcentral
CUCUGGAUAGAGAAUCAGAGGUGCUCCUUCUCUAGCUUAGUGCUUGAUUUGCCUACAGGAUUCACCACUGCUGGCUGAUGUGGAAGCAAGAAUAUAGGAGAAAAAAAAGCCAUCAACAGCAUCAACAGCUUCAACAAAGCAACAUGUGAAUGCAGUCUAAUCUUCAGGAGAUGAUGCUGAACAGAUCUACUGCAGGAGAGUCAGAGCCAGAGAUACCAAUUCUGCAGGAAGAGCGGUGAAGUAGAGCCCUAAAGACCAAGUCCUGAAGAGCAUCUUGUUUCUUUAUGUGCAUUGCGCUCAUUCUCCUUCAAGGCUACAGCAAAAUUGUUUCUGGAAUGCAGCAAAUGGUAUAAUACAUGUUACAGAUCCCAUUCCUAGUUAGCUGCAAAGCUUCUGCUGCAUUUGGGUUAAGGAGGUAAGAGGCAACAUUUCAUUGUUCAAGAAUUUUUAGGACUGGCUAAAGAAAGACUCAGCUGCAAUUACAAGCCAAGUAAGACCAUGCUGACUUUUCUAUGAUUUUCUCAACACACAGCUGCACAUCUGCCAGUUAGAGCUGGUUGGAAUAUUUCCAGCAAAUCAAAAUUUUUUUGGAAACCUUCCCAUGGAUUACAAGGUCCAAGAUGCUGGGGCUCUUGGAAAACCUUGGACUUGACAGACGUCAACAAGUCAGAGGUGAAUUCCUGAGAGCAUACAAGCAGCUGCCCAGUCUUUAGCCCCUGGGUGAUGUAUCUGCAUGGUUGCACAGGGAUGCUUCAAUUUGGGCUGAAGAAUGGGGAACCCACUCAGUGGAAAACUUCUGGAAAAGAAUGGGUUUUGCAGGAUCUGCUACAGACCAGCUCCAAGAGGGGAAUAGAUGGCUGUGGAUCCCAGAUGGAGUGUUGGACCAGAAAUAUUAUCAAGAAAGCAUCCCUCAAAGUGAUUUCAAUGCUUCCUGCAGUCCUGGGAUAAGACACAUAAACCUGAAAAAAAUGCUGGAGGCAAGAGACAAAGCAGCUUUGGAAGACAGUUCUCAUUCAUGGGCAGGUUGUACAACAGUGGCAAUGGGUUUCAUUCUCAAGACAAAAUGUUUAAAUAGACCUUUCUCCAAAUAUAUUAUCAGUAUAGAAGACAAGAUGUUGGAUCUAAUUCAGUUUUCAUUCAUUCUUCUCCCAGCUGAAAUAGUUUUUGGACAUUUAGUGUGAGAAGUUUCUAAAAAUAGGCAAGAAAUUACAGGAUUGAUGAGAGAGACAGACAUGUCCAUGGGAAAAUGUUGGGUGGCCACAGUACAAGAGGCUCCUCUAUGCCUCAGAAUACUUUGUCUGGUUUUUGCUGAGUUUUAAGCAAAAAUGGAAUUCUCUUGAAUUAUUCAUUAUGUUUUCUUUGGGUCACCUUUCCCUAUAUAUUACACCAGCAAAAUAAACAAGCACUAGGAGUCA